AUUGAACGCUGGCGGCAUGCCUUACACAUGCAAGUCGAACGGUAACGGGCCUUCGGGUGCCGACGAGUGGCGAACGGGUGAGUAAUACAUCGGAACGUGCCCGAUCGUGGGGGAUAACGGGGCGAAAGCUUUGCUAAUACCGCAUACGAUCUACGGUUGAAAGCCGGGGACCGCAAGGCCUUGCGCGGACGGUGCGGCCGAUGGCAGAUUAGGUAGUUGGUGGGAUAAAAGCUUACCAAGCCGACGAUCUGUAGCUGGUCUGAGAGGAUGAUCAGCCACACUGGGACUGAGACACGGCCCAGACUCCUACGGGAGGCAGCAGUGGGGAAUUUUGGACAAUGGGCGCAAGCCUGAUCCAGCCAUGCCGCGUGCAGGAUGAAGGCCUUCGGGUUGUAAACUGCUUUUGUACGGAACGAAAAGCCUUCUUUUAAUACAGGAGGGUCAUGACGGUACCGUAAGAAUAAGCACCGGCUAACUACGUG
RNAcentral lists this ribosomal RNA (482 nucleotides) under uncultured bacterium. RNAcentral describes it as "partial 16S ribosomal RNA". It matches the Rfam family "Bacterial small subunit ribosomal RNA", at positions 30 to 507 of the family's 1533-position model. The record is from RNAcentral.